UACGUAGGGAGCAAGCGUUGUUCGGAAUGACUGGGCGUAAAGGGUGCGUAGGCGGUUGUACAAGUUAGAAGUGAAAUACCCAGGGCUUAACUCGGGUGCUGCUUCUAAAACUGUAUGACUUGAGUGCAGUAGAGGUUAGUGGAAUUCCUAGUGUAGCGGUGGAAUGCGUAGAUAUUACACAGAACACCGAUUGCGAAGGCAGCUUGCUAGGCCGGAUCUGACACUGAUGCACGGAAGCGUGGGGAUCGAACAGG
RNAcentral lists this ribosomal RNA (254 nucleotides) under uncultured Eubacteriales bacterium. RNAcentral's name for it is "uncultured Clostridiales bacterium partial 16S ribosomal RNA". It matches the Rfam family "Bacterial small subunit ribosomal RNA", at positions 524 to 776 of the family's 1533-position model. The record is from RNAcentral. Lineage: Bacteria; Bacillati; Bacillota; Clostridia; Eubacteriales.